RNAcentral lists this long non-coding RNA (245 nucleotides) under Mytilus galloprovincialis (Mediterranean mussel). Lineage: Eukaryota; Metazoa; Mollusca; Bivalvia; Mytilida; Mytilidae. The record is from RNAcentral.
ACAUUUUAAUCAAGUGAGCAAUUAAAUUAAUAAUUUAAAUGUUGUUCGAAAACAACUAUUAGUAACCUAGCAGUUGCAGGCUACAGAUAUUGUGUUAAGACCAGAAAACAGGGCAGAGAUGCAGAACUUGUAUACUGGAAAUGUACAGAAAUGGACUGCCCUGGCACCGUCAACACCACAGAUAAUCUAGUUACCAGAUUUCCAAGAGACCACAAGCACUAACCAUCACAUGCAGAUAUCAAAAC